UAAUCGACAUAAAAAAUGAGUAGAAAACAAAUAUAACAAACUAUACAUGUCAUCUACAAAUACAACAAACUGUACACGUCAUUAAUAAUCUUGCAGACAACUCAAGUCAAUAUGAUGAUUUAUAAAGUGCUUUCCAUGGACUCCAUGCUACCCACUGUGACUUUAGUAUCUGCUCUUCAGUACUCAAUUUGCUCUCAAUCUUCAUGGCUUCAAGUG
RNAcentral lists this long non-coding RNA (216 nucleotides) under Carica papaya (papaya). RNAcentral describes it as "long non-coding RNA (CPAP_LNC015642)". The record is from RNAcentral. Lineage: Eukaryota; Viridiplantae; Streptophyta; Magnoliopsida; Brassicales; Caricaceae.